GGAGGGUGCGAGCGUUGUCCGGAAUCACUGGGCGUAAAGGGCGCGUAGGCGGUUCGGUAAGUUGUUGGUGAAAUCCCGGGGCUCAACUCCGGGGCUGCCAGCAAGACUGUCGGACUUGAGCACGGUAGGGGCAGAUGGAAUUCCCGGUGUAGCGGUGGAAUGCGUAGAGAUCGGGAAGAAUACCAGUGGCGAAGGCGUUCUGCUGGGCCGUUGCUGACGCUGAGGCGCGACAGCGUGGGGAGCAAACAGGAUUAGAUACCCUGGUAGUCCACGCCGUAAACGAUGGGCACUAGGCGUCGGGGGGAGCGACCCUCCCGGUGCCGUCGCUAACGCAGUAAGUGCCCCGCCUGGGGAGUACGGCCGCAAGGCUG
RNAcentral lists this ribosomal RNA (371 nucleotides) under uncultured bacterium. Its description in RNAcentral is "bacterial SSU rRNA". It matches the Rfam family "Bacterial small subunit ribosomal RNA", at positions 527 to 896 of the family's 1533-position model. The record is from RNAcentral.